This 45-nucleotide non-coding RNA is filed under the name Schistosoma mattheei. The record is from RNAcentral. Lineage: Eukaryota; Metazoa; Platyhelminthes; Trematoda; Strigeidida; Schistosomatidae.
CUCUGACUGACGAGUUCCAAAUAGGACGGAACGCGCGUCCAUUGC